RNAcentral lists this unclassified non-coding RNA (296 nucleotides) under Amauroderma sp. RNAcentral's name for it is "partial contains 5.8S ribosomal RNA, internal transcribed spacer 2, and large subunit ribosomal RNA". The record is from RNAcentral. Lineage: Eukaryota; Fungi; Basidiomycota; Agaricomycetes; Polyporales; Polyporaceae.
CGCACCUUGCGCUCCUUGGUAUUCCGAGGAGCAUGCCUGUUUGAGUGUCAUGAAAUCUUCAAUCUACAAGCUUCUUAUGGGAGUUUGUAGGCUUGGACUUGGAGGCUUGUCGGUCCUUUACAGGUCGGCUCCUCUCAAAUGCAUUAGCUUGGUUCCUUGCGGAUCGGCUUGUCGGUGUGAUAAUGUCUACGCCGCGACCGUGAAGCGUGUUUGGGCGAGCUUCUAACCGUCUCGUUUACGGAGACAACUUUAUGACCUCUGACCUCAAAUCAGGUAGGACUACCCGCUGAACUUAA